GCCGGGUCAUCUCGCGGGCCACAAUGGACUCCUUGAUGGGGGCGAACUUGUAGUUGUUCAGGUCGUAAUUGGCAUCGGAGUACAGCGACGCGCUGGUGGCCGGCGCGGCACAGCGCCUGAGCUGCGCCUUGCGCGAGGUGAACAGGCGGACCCCCGCCACCGAGCUCGAGCUGGACCCGACAUUGCUCUUGAGCUCCACAUUGGCACCCAGUCCCGUGGCCACUCCCGCAGCGGAAAUGCUCAUGGUCGCCGCCAUUGCUUCAGAUCCUGCCAAUUACAAUCGCUUCUCGCACUGCUUGGAUUCCGAUGGGACACAGUAGUUAGCGAUCAGAGCAAUAUGGAUGACGAUCCAAGGAGAAUAACAACUGGCAUUGUGGGGUUAUGAUCCUGGAAGCCUAAAUGGGCAUUCGAUCGAGGGCGUGGUCAAAAAGGGGACAAAAGAGUCUCCUAGUGAACGUCAGAUAGAAUGUUCGUAAAUAGCAAAGAGGAACCUUGAACGCAUGGAGAGGUGGACAUGCACUCACAAACUCGCAGAUUUUUUUUGCGGAUUGAAUUACUGCCUCCAAGAAAACAGGUGAAAAGUGCUUGUUGAACCCAUAAAAGGACUCCAGUUAUCUUUGAUGCGGAAUGGAUGUGACGAAACCUCAUCCGUGGGGCAUGUGCAUGAAGGCUUGAGUAAAUGCAUUAACCAAUAGGACCAGAAUAUAUGAUAUUUUGAACACUCUAAUUGUUAAUUACACAAUUAGGUUUAGUAGUGCGGUCAAUAUUACCCUUUAAUAACAUCUUUGUGUGCAAAACAAUGGUACAUUGAUUUCUAGUGUCGCAGGUUCUAGCAAUGAAAUUGAUUACUUGGUGUCAGACAAAACAACUGGGAAUCCUUGUGCAUGAAGCUGAGUAGCUGAAUUGAAUGAAGAGUUUCAAAAUAGAAUGACCGCGGGUGGAGUUGAUAACCACAUUUCACGUGAUAGAAUUCCCUCAUCCUUCAUUGCUUCAUUCUACUUUGAGACAGACAUUCGAAUGCAUUCACCCCAUUUAAUGCCCACAUUACCACUGUCACUUCUCAUUUCACCAACUUCGGUCGCAUCACUCCCACCACGGAAGGGCUGGCGCUAGGAACACAUCUGGUUCGAAAGACUCGUCAGGGAUCGGAACUCUUCAGUGCAGCUCUGGUGCAACUGAAACACAAACGUCGGAACGCAUGUCAUGAAUUGUUUUUCUCCUGCUUUCUAUGCAAUGGCUCAGAUUGUGCCGGCAUCAGCUCUGAGGGACAAAGACCACCGGGGCAGAUUCCUGUUCAUUCUCCUUCAGGGCCAAGCGGAAGCUUAGGAAUAUUGCAGGGAAAGAUUCUAACCGAACCCCGAGGGAGUGUGCUUUGUCGUAGAGCACACGGACUGGUUUUGGUUGCGGAGUGGCAAUUAAUUCGCAACUUUCCCAGAGAGAAGCUACCAAGCAGAUUUUUUUUUUCGAGUUUUGGUUUUAUGGGGGUGUGGGGGCGAAUAUUUUGAUGCAGGCUUGGCCAUUCGACAGGGGUAAAGGUCGGUGGUGUCAUCAGGACCACCGCCAGUGCCCUUUUUACCCCACCACCCCCAUCCCCACUUCCACUCCAACCCAUGCACUAAAAGAAUCCUAGAUGAGAGGUUGUGAGGACUAGGGGGCUUGUCUCAGCUCCUCUCAGCCCAUCGAUCAGCGAGUUAAAGAGUCCGAAGAUUAGUGUCAAGAUAUUUUUAUGUGCAGCUUUAGGAAUCCUUCAGGUUGGACUGGCUCUUUUUUGUGCUGUUGCCAUAGCCGAGGAGGGAUCUCGCACGAAGCCGUCGAGCUUGGUGGGGCUCUCUCUUGCACUUGCGUCGUACCCCCCCCCCCCCCCCACGGCUCUACCUUCCCAAGAGGGCUCUGUCCCCAUGUCUUUCCAAAUGCCUUUCGAGGUUCUUCCAUCCUUUGCAUUGUAAUUUAUAGAUAUUUUGGGGCGUUGAAAGUAAGAUAUUAAAAGAAAAAAAAAGUAACAAAUGUAGUGAGAAGGUUUUCAAUGAGAUUAGCAUGAUGUGUGAAAAUUAUUAUUAUAAUUAUUGUUAUAAUCUUUUUUCUUCUCUAUUAGAAGUAAUUACCAUUCAAGCUAUGUAAUGGUUGCUUUUGGAUCUUUAAUUUUUAAAUAUUUUGGAGUUUCAAAUGUAGAUGUUGAUACAGGAUCAAUUUAUUGUGAAGCAAUUAGUUUACAUGUAUUUUUCUUAGAUUUUAUUUUUAUUUUUUAUUUUUUUUAUACAAAUAGAAUAGAAUUGCUUGGAUUACAAUAAAAAUAAAAUUAAUAUCUUUUAGAGAGACAAAUUUAUAUGUAAGGUAUACUAUAAGAACCAAUUUUAUUUCUUAAUAUCUAUUGGAUGAAUAAUAAGACCAUAAAUAUUUCCAAUUAAAAGUAUAGAAUGACUUAUGUUUAUUUUUCACUUAAAAAGUUGUCUAAUUCAACUUCUAAUAUGAUAUUUUUUAACUUCUAACUUCUAAUACUUUAAUUGAAUGAACUAUAAUUUUUUUCUACUUAUCUACCUAAAAAUGAGAAAUUUAAAAUUAUUUUUUUGACAUGAGAUUAAUAAAUAAUUUAAAACCUUCAAUAUUAUUUUUUAUUAUUUUAAAAUUUGGUAAAUCAAAUUGCACAUGUAAUUCUACUUAAUAGUCAAAUUUAACUUAAGGAGAAACAUAAUUAUGAAAAAUAUUAAUACAAUAUACAAUCUAUUGUAAUAUUUAUAAUAAUAAGCUAAUUUAAAAUAUAUAAAUAGUAUUCUUAUGUAAAAGAUUAUAUUUAUAUUUAUAUAUUUAGAAUAAUUUAAAAAAAGUUGAAUUGUAUUCUACAAAAAUUGAUUAAUAAAAUUUAAUUCAUACAAUUCAACUUUUAAUAAUCAAAUUAAUCUUUUAAUCUUUUAAGUUGAAUUUUGUCUAACAAUAUUUUAAUAUUAAAACUAAAAUACAAAGAUGAUAAAUACUUUGGAAAUACAUAGAAUGCCAUAUUCUUCUAUGAUUUUUUUUAGAAUCAAGAUUAAUUUGAUUAAUAAAAGUUAAAAUUUUAUUCUAUACAAAAAAUGAAUUGUAUGGAAUGCAAAUUAAACUCAAAAUUCGUACAAAAUUCCUUUGAACAUGAAUUCCAACUACAACUUAUUAACUUUUUUUGGAUUUUUUUUUGGAAUUAGUACUUGUUAAAUUAACAUUUAACAAGAAAUAUAAAAAUCCAAUGAUAAUUCAAAGUGAUCUACAAGCCUUCUUUGAAUCAAAGCUAAGCUUAAGGAGAACCUUCCAACCUACCAAAUUUUUGAUGUACUCAUAUUUGAAUUAUUAGAGUUUGUAUUUUAGACUCAUUCUAUAUAAAUUCUAUGUUUUUUUAAAAAAAUUACUAAAACAUACUAUUAACUUAGAUAUUUUUUCUAACCAAUUAAUGUAAUAUUUAAAAUUAAAAUUUGAUGACUAAGCUUUAUAUUUUAAUUAUAACACCUACAACUCUAAUUGCAACAACCAAACCAAUUGUCAAGGACAAAGACUCGAUGAGGGAAAAUAUACACCAAAAGGCUAUCUCGAUAUAAUAAGUCAAAAUAUAAACAAGUAGGUAUAUUAAAAGGAAACUGGAAUGGCUAUUGCCACAAGACAAGAAACUAAAGACUUUUGAACCUGGACUAGAAGCAAGAAAGGAGUUGACAAGAGUGAAGAAGCCUUCACUCUUGUCUCUAUAUAUACUAUCUAAAUAGGGGCUACGUGGCGACGUUCUAUAGGACCUCCAAUAUGUGUUGACUUUGUAGGACACAUGCCUUGACUUACAAGGCAAGUUUUUCUACGUGUGGGCCACAUAGUUAGCUUGAUCAUCAAGCUAACAACAUGUGUGGCACAUGGCCAACUUGUUGACCACGUUUCUAAUCCAAAAAGUCAAUUAAAGACACCUAUGAAGUCAAAGCAGCGUCUAGAAAGUUUCUAGGAAGCUUCUAUAUUAAAUAUUAUAGAAUUAACUUAUUUCUAUCUACUUUUACUUACUUCUACCUAUUUCUAUAUGUAAUUAUUAGCUUACAUGAUUAUGGCCGUGACACCAAUAGCUAAUCACAAAACUGUACUUAGCAAAGGCAAUUGCCAUCCACUCACUUACACUUGUAGCCAUAAGUCUAAAAUUGAUUUUUACUAGUGGAAACCAAAUUGUAAUGCCAUUAACUCAAUCAAAAGACCUUUAACAUCUUUUAUAAACCAAUACCUCAUAUUACUACGAGAUCUAUAAAUACAACUAUUAUUUUCAAUGACAAAUAUUAUAACAUCAUAUUCUUCUUACUUUCAAAAUACUUGAUAAUCCAUUUCUAUGCUAAAGUAGUCAUUUUCAAAUUUUUACACAUUUAUGCAAUAAAUUUUAAUAUCAAGUGUGUUGUCCACUAAAAAAGCCACCAACAUGCAAGUAUAUGAAGAUAGUAUGUGUCUAAUUAUUCAUGCUUGUAAGCUCAACAUUGUUAUCAAUUUUGAUGGCAAAAUCUAUGAAACCAUUUAGCUAAGCUUAUUUGAAAAUGACCUUUAAGAUGCUCAAAAUUUAUAAGUGAUUCAUGACAUACACUACAAUAAAUUCAAUCCUUUCAUUUGGAGAUAUAUUUGUUGCAUAUUAAUUUUAAUAUCAAGAUAUUUUUAAUAGUAAAUAAUUUUAUAUUUAGAUUUAUAAUCUACAUCAAUUCAUAACCAAAUUUGUUUAUAAUUAUUGAAAACACAUGAUAUCUUUAAUAAUAAAAUUUAAGAUUCUAUCCAAUUAGGUAUUUUUAUUUAAUAAAUUUUGUAUAGAUUCACUUAAAUAUAUCUACAUUACAACAUUUGAUCUUCCACACAACAUCUUAUCUAAUGUCCUAUGCUAUGGAAAGCAAGCCAAAGAUAGAUCAUCCAAAUCAUAUUCAACUUCUAUCACUUCUUCUUUCAAUGCUCUUCACAAAUAAUGUCAAAGGUGCAACAAAAAUCAACUACAGUUGGCUAACAUGCUUCUGAAUUCAACCACUCAAUAUGGAUAAUUUAAAGACAUGACUUCUUCUAAACCAACAAUUCUUGUAGUAGUCUUGUCCCACAACCAAAUUCCAUCCCACCCACAUUGGAGCAAAUUAUAAUGACUCUUAUAUACAUUACAAAAGUCCUUUGACUAUUAUAUCUAUUCAUGCUCCUUGCUUUAAAACCCAAAUGUUAAUACUUUAUCAAAUACUAUUUUCCACCAAGAAAAAACCACUUAGUCAUUGAACUCCUACCAGAUCAAUGCUAUUAAUAUUUGCCACCUCAUUGGAACAGCAUCUCAAAUAAUUCUUGAAAUCUUUUCUUUUUAAAGAAUUUAGUGCAAGCGUCUUGUUGCUUGUUUCAGAUUUUUAAUUUCUUUGUCAAAAUAGAUAUUAAUAGAGAACCAAUCCACCAAAAGAACAAUCUGCAACGCAUUUUCUUCAGUCCAUGGAUAAUGCCCAUAAGUGAGAGCUUGCAAGCACAACAGGGACUUGAAGGUUGAGCUCAUUAUCUUGAAUGAAUGAGACGUUGGACUCUUGCCUUUUGUUUGAUGCGAUACCACUUCGAGGGAUUUGCUAAUUCGGCAAAGGCUCUUUGCGACCAGGCAACGCUCGAUGCGAGGCAUGUCCACCAAAACGAGGAAUCGGCUCAACCCACAUUUUGUAUCUACAAUAUGCAACAAUCACAUCGAAAGGCCAGUUACAGACCUGGAGACUUGGUCGUCUAGAUGGAAAGAUCUUCCACAUUUUGAUAUUGCAGGAAUUCCAUCUUUAGUACCGCAUGUCACCAUCACGACGUUGGAUCCACGCAUCACUUUAUCAGUGGGGCUGUAGGCCCAUUCUCGAGAUGAUCGACACCGUGCAUUGCAGAUUGGAGUUAGUCGUGGAUUAGUUGCAAGGUUGCGAUUGAUGCCACGAUUCUCGUGGUUCUGCAAAGUGUCGUCGAUAGAUCGAACGGCACAACCAGAGAGCCAGACCUUCGAGUUAUGCAACCAGCUGCACAACCAACAGAUCUCAGCCAUCAUGUAUAGGUUGUUUCUGCAGUAGGAUUUUGCAGUGGCCCCCGAGGCUUGAGAGUGGCCCCUGUAGUGAAUAUUAUGAGCUAUCAUCAUCAAUUGUUGGGUUCCUCCAAGAAUAGACUAGCAGAUUAUUGCAUGUUUCCCAGAGCGGUGUGGAUCGUGGACCGGCUGGAGCUUUUAUGUAACUAUUCCGAUGUAAUCAGAAAGUAAAUCAGAACCAUUCGGCGAUAUUCCUUUUAUAACUGAGUAAAUCGACAGGAGAAACAUCGAGAAAUGCGAUUCCUAAAAUCUGGCACGGCGUUCAACCCGCCCAAAUUGUGAUUCAUUCCUUCGAUCAUGAGGUAUGUAGCUCUGAGGUCGAAAAAGACUAUGUCAAGAUGGCUCUAGCAUUGAAGAUUAGAGAAAGAUUCUAGCAAGAAAAGCACAAUAUCCUUCACCGAUUGUUCGUUUACUGAAGUUGACAAAUCAUGGGACGAUGUUGAUUAUAUCUGAACGCGUGAGAAAUGAAAACUAACUGGACUAAUGCACCAGCAUAGAUGUAGUAUGCUGGAUUGCACAUCCUACCGUUUAUACAAAAGAAUAAAGCAGAAUUGGCAACGAAUGGUGUAGAAGACUCAUGAGUUAUGACAGAUCUCUUGUUUUUUGAACAAUUAAAAUAAUCUCUGAACAAGAUUCGUUGGUGAUGACUCAUGUCUACAGUAAUGUAUUGGACGAUUCCCUCGGGACAAAUGCUAUAUAUUGACAUACAAAACUCUCUCGAAUCUAGGGAUGACCUACGAUUUUGCAACUGUCCAGUUCGAUGACGAAAGUUCGCAUCUAGCAGAAACAUUAAAGAAUGUCGACAUCCCAUCGGUAUGCAUACAUGACAACCAAAUGGACAGUGCAUCAGCAUCAGUGAAAUUCAAAUUCCUCAGUCCAACCGAUCUGGUCGAUUGGGUAUCUCCUCUACCCAUAUACGAAAGUCAGCUUGCUGACCCGGCGACAAUAAGCGAUUGCAGCUUACGAUUGCCAACAAGCGAUUGUCCAUUUUAUUGCUCAUUCCAUUGAACACAGAACAAACACACCAUUCUUCGAGCACAUCUUUCGAGAAACCGAAACGGCAACACUCCAUGUUUACCCGGAUCCGCCUCCCCCCUAUACAAACCUAAUCCUAAUCAACUUCGCCACCCAUCAUGGAUGACCCUCGUUACUAACUGCUUACACAUCACACAUCUUAUCAAAACAGACUCAACUUCCCAUCGAACCCAAGGUUCCACGGAUUAGCUGAAUUCUAAGCGGAUGCCGUCAUGUCGUCGGUGGACGCCAAUACCAGCUCUGGGUGCACAUUGGGCUUGUAGUUCCCGUCCACCUCGUUGGGUAGCCCCAACGCCCUCAGCGCCAAGUGUGCCGCCUUCUGCCCGGAUAUCAUCAUCGCUCCGAAUGUGGGUCCCUGCAUUCCAUUUCCACACCACAAUUCCUUCAGCAUUCUGCACCUCACUCUGCAAGCGGCAAGCGGCAAGGCGAUCAUCCACACACAUGAACCAUCACCACGUUGCCUCGACGUUCUUACCAUUCUCGGCGACCCGUCGAUCUCCGCCACCUCCAUGCCCGUCACGAUCAUCCCUGGCACCACCUCCCGCGUGUGCUUCACAAUCGCGUCCUCCGCCGCGUUCAUGUCCAGGCACUUCAUCCCCGGCACGCUCUCGAUCAUCCCGAUGCUCCGCAGCCGCUUCACCCCGGUCGCCCCGAAUGGCCCGUCGUGCCCGCACGACGACACCACCACCUUCGCCUCCAUCACGUUCGGGUCCAUGCACGACUGUGUGUUGUGGUUCUGCGCCACCAGCGCCCAGUUCGUCACCACGCCCGACACCCGGUCGCCCCGGAUAAUCAGAUCCUCCGCCGCCACCGCGUUGAACAGCUUCACGUUCGGCCGCGCCAGCAGCUUGCUCAUGAUCGUGGACGUGAACAGCGCCGCGUGCUUGAUCACCACGUAGUUCUCCAUCUCCUCGUACGGCACCUCGAUCUCGUCCAGGAACCGGUGCGCCGGCUUGCGUACGAUCAUGGCCGAGAACAAUUGCCCGCCUAACCACGCGCCUCCUCCAGGCGACACCGACUGCUCCACGAUGGCCACCUUCACGUUGGGGUUCUUGGACAGCUCGUACGCGCACGACAGCCCCGCGGACCCAGCACCCACCACCACCACGUCGGUGUCGGCGUGGGUGAUCAUGUCGGUCAUGUAGCGCCGGGUCAUCUCGCGGGCCACAAUGGACUCCUUGAUGGGGGCGAACUUGUAGUUGUUCAGGUCGUAAUUGGCAUCGGAGUACAGCGACGCGCUGGUGGCCGGCGCGGCACAGCGCCUGAGCUGCGCCUUGCGCGAGGUGAACAGGCGGACCCCCGCCACCGAGCUCGAGCUGGACCCGACAUUGCUCUUGAGCUCCACAUUGGCACCCAGUCCCGUGGCCACUCCCGCAGCGGAAAUGCUCAUGGUCGCCGCCAUUUCUUCAGACUCUGGAGGACAGAAUUGCUACAGGCAAAUAGACACAACAACUAGCAGGACCUGGUGCGGGUAAU
This 8542-nucleotide long non-coding RNA is filed under the name Physcomitrium patens. Its description in RNAcentral is "long non-coding RNA (PPAT_LNC013206)". The record is from RNAcentral. Lineage: Eukaryota; Viridiplantae; Streptophyta; Bryopsida; Funariales; Funariaceae.